RNAcentral lists this ribosomal RNA (322 nucleotides) under uncultured eukaryote. RNAcentral's name for it is "partial 18S ribosomal RNA". It matches the Rfam family "Eukaryotic small subunit ribosomal RNA", at positions 1470 to 1796 of the family's 1831-position model. The record is from RNAcentral.
CCCUUAGAUGUUCUGGGCCGCACGCGUGCUACACUGAGUGGAUCAGCGGGUCAGGUUGCGCGAAAGUGUUUCCUAAUCUUGAAAUCCGCUCGUGAUGGGGAUUGACGGUUGCAAUUUUCCGUCAUGAACGAGGAAUACCUUGUAAGCGCGGGUCAUCAUCCCGCGCUGAAUACGUCCCUGCACUUUGUACACACCGCCCGUCGCUCCUACCGAUUGAGUGGUCCGGUGAGGCUUUGGGAUCUGAGCGGAAAGAGCGUUUCGCUGUUUCUGCUCGGAAAACUCAGUCGAACCUUAUCAUUUAGAGGAAGGAGAAGUCGUAACA